ACUGGCAGAAUGGAGUUCUCGGAGCUGAUCCAUACGGGCUGAGCCCAAGCAGAGUUUCUACGGGGCCCGGAGGCGCCCCCGCUUCGCGGCACGGUGUGAGUCACCGUCCACCACCUGCUCCUGUCGCCAGGGCCCGCGUCCUCUCCGGACCUGUGGCUGCUGCUGUUGCGUAGCGUCGACUCCUUCGAGAAGCAACCAACGCGUGGCGGCUGAGCGAGGUGAACGAGGACUUCAGCUUGUGCCCCAGAUACCCCCGUGCGGUGAUCGUGCCAUACUUGGUGGACGAUGAUGCCCUGGCGCGCAGCGCCCGCUUCCGUCAGGGAGGUCGCUUCCCGGUGCUCAGCUACCACCCGGCUCCCAGCGGCAGAGGGAGCGCGCCCUCCCCACGCUCCGCCCCUGGGUGGCUGCGUCCUUUCUGGGCCUUUUCUUUUUGGCCCGGUCAAUUCGCGGCGUAGCCGCUGCCCCAACUCCUGCCCCAUUCUGGUCCCGCCCCUCUCCCGCCUUUUCGCUGGGAAGGGUAUCACCUUUCUCUGGCCCCGCCCCUGACGGUUCCGGGCCCCGCGAAGCUUAGUCCCUUCUUUGUCAAGCCAGGACCCGCCCACGGUCUAUUCAUAGGGUCCCAAACCACUUUGGCCACAACACCCCCAGACUGGUCCGAAGCCUCGUGAGUUCGCCCUGGUCGUUGCACUCCAGCCUGUCGCUGUGCAGACCUGGCUUAGAGGACCCCUAAGGCUGAGGGGUCACUUCCAGAACUGAGUCCGGUCCGCAGGUUCUGCUACGCUCCAGCCAGCCCCUAACUGGUCCCCAGAAGCGGCGCUGCUACAGGGACCAGGAGCUGCUGCGAACUGCGCUGGCGGGGGCUCGUCCUUGGGCGCGGGGCUUCAUCAUGGACACGCUCUCGGCCCAGGCCGCGAAACAAGCCCGCGUGACUGGCGGAGGCACAGAGACCAAGGCCGCUUAACCUGGCUGGUUGCACUGGUCCCUGGAGAGGAUUCUGUGUCUCCCUCAUUGGUCUUGAGCACUUGCUCCCUGGCUGUACUUGGCAAGGGCUUGAGCUGGAAAAGAUGACCAGACUCCCACCGCCCAGAGGGCGUCCCCUGCAGGAGAGCUUCAUGCGCCUGGUGGAGGCCUGUGGGGACUCGGAGCAAAGCAUGGACAACUGGCUGAGUCGGCUGGACGGCUGCCGCUGACUGUAACAUGUAAAGCAGGCACUGAGCACCACCUGCCUGGCAGUCCAGGGCAUGGAGAGGCACAGACAGCACCCUGCUUGUGACUUCACUGGCCCAACUCAUCCUGGACCCCUUGAGCAAGACCAUGGCUGGAUUCCAGGAACUGGUGGAGUGGAAGUGGAUCCAGGAAAAUGCCGUGUGAAGGGAGGACUCAGAUGCACUCCCUGUGGUCUGGGCUCAACCAGCCAAAAGAGCAACAAAGACUCCAGAACCCACUCUACCUCCUCAAUCCCUUGGCCAUCUGUGGAGCCCCAGAGCCUGCGGCUGUGGCAAGGCCUGUUUCUGCGCUGGACCUGCUCACCUGAGCCUGCAGAAGCUGCAUGGGGGAAGAGUGUGGCAAAUAGUGACAGGAAGGGAGAAGACAGAAGCCUCUCAGCCAACUGCUUCAGCCGAGCCCCUAUUCUAAGCACUGGCUCCUUGGAUAGCAGCUGAGAUGUUCCUGAAACCUCUGCAGGCCCCUUAGGACCUUUACACCUUGGAUGAGGGUGCCUGCAACCCAGGUUAGCCAAAAGUACUGAGGGUCUUAAGUUUGAAGUGUCCAAAGUAUAGGGAGGUCUCAAUAAUAAAAGUCUCCAUGAUCAGCA
Molecule: long non-coding RNA, 1813 nt
Organism: Homo sapiens (human)
Lineage: Eukaryota; Metazoa; Chordata; Mammalia; Primates; Hominidae
Source: Ensembl